This 301-nucleotide ribosomal RNA is filed under the name uncultured bacterium. RNAcentral's name for it is "partial 16S ribosomal RNA". It matches the Rfam family "Bacterial small subunit ribosomal RNA", at positions 509 to 808 of the family's 1533-position model. The record is from RNAcentral.
CAGCGCCACGGUAAUACAGAGGGUGCGAGCGUUAAUCGGAUUUACUGGGCGUAAAGCGUGCGUAGGCGGCUUCUUAAGUCGGAUGUGAAAUCCCUGAGCUUAACUUAGGAAUUGCAUUCGAUACUGGGAAGCUAGAGUAUGGGAGAGGAUGGUAGAAUUCCAGGUGUAGCGGUGAAAUGCGUAGAGAUCUGGAGGAAUACCGAUGGCGAAGGCAGCCAUCUGGCCUAAUACUGACGCUGAGGUACGAAAGCAUGGGGAGCAAACAGGAUUAGAUACCCGAGUAGUCCCUGUCUCUUAUACA